CGUUUAUUUGAUAGUACCUUACUACUUGGAUAACCGUGGUAAUUCUAGAGCUAAUACAUGCUGAAAACCCCGACUUCGGAAGGGGUGUAUUUAUUAGAUAAAAAACCAAUGCCCUUCGGGGCUCUUUGGUGAUUCAUAAUAACUUAACGGAUCGCAUGGCCUUGCGCCGGCGACGGUUCAUUCAAAUUUCUGCCCUAUCAACUUUCGAUGGUAAGGUAUUGGCUUACCAUGGUUUCAACGGGUAACGGGGAAUUAGGGUUCGAUUCCGGAGAGGGAGCCUGAGAAACGGCUACCACAUCCAAGGAAGGCAGCAGGCGCGCAAAUUACCCAAUCCCGACACGGGGAGGUAGUGACAAUAAAUACUGAUACAGGGCUCUUUUGGGUCUUGUAAUCGGAAUGAGUACAAUUUAAACCUCUUAACGAGGAACAAUUGGAGGGCAAGUCUGGUGCCAGCAGCCGCGGUAAUUCCAGCUCCAAUAGCGUAUAUUAAAGUUGUUGCAGUUAAAAAGCUCGUAGUUGAAUCUUGGGCCUGGCUGGCCGGUCCGCCUCACCGCGUGCACUGGUCCGGCCGGGCCUUUCCUUCUGGAGAGCCCCAUGCCCUUCACUGGGUGUGCGGGGGAACCAGGACUUUUACUUUGAAAAAAUUAGAGUGUUCAAAGCAGGCCUUUGCUCGAAUACGUUAGCAUGGAAUAAUAGAAUAGGACGUGCGAUCCUAUUUUGUUGGUUUCUAGGACCGC
RNAcentral lists this ribosomal RNA (737 nucleotides) under Amniculicola parva. RNAcentral's name for it is "SSU rRNA". It matches the Rfam family "Eukaryotic small subunit ribosomal RNA", at positions 114 to 860 of the family's 1831-position model. Lineage: Eukaryota; Fungi; Ascomycota; Dothideomycetes; Pleosporales; Amniculicolaceae. The record is from RNAcentral.